UUCUUUGAUCUGCUGACUGGACCUGAGAUCCUGUUCCUGACUGGACUGACACAUGGACUGUUUGUUCAUUUGAAAAUAGAAGAGUUGACUUCUACUUCUAAAAGAAAACUGGUGCUAUGAUUACAAAGGUUAUAAAAUGUGCAGUCCUCCAGUUGAAGAGGCAUGGACUGGGAGCUGCCAAAAUAAGGACAAUCCCCAAUUAACACUCUGAGCACAAGAGUCAAGAAUCUUCCCUCACUGGGUCGUUUGAGGUUCAAGAACUAUGAAAUGAAGAAUGUAAGGCCUAUUAAAAACAAUGGGUU
Molecule: long non-coding RNA, 302 nt
Organism: Monodelphis domestica (gray short-tailed opossum)
Lineage: Eukaryota; Metazoa; Chordata; Mammalia; Didelphimorphia; Didelphidae
Source: RefSeq, a predicted model, not a curated record